Molecule: ribosomal RNA, 301 nt
Filed under: uncultured bacterium
Lineage: Bacteria
Description: partial 16S ribosomal RNA
Rfam family: Bacterial small subunit ribosomal RNA
Source: RNAcentral
CAGUCGCCGCGGUAAUACGAAGGGUGCAAGCGUUACUCGGAAUUACUGGGCGUAAAGCGUGCGUAGGUGGUGGUUUAAGUCCGUUGUGAAAGCCCUGGGCUCAACCUGGGAAUUGCAGUGGAUACUGGGUCACUAGAGUGUGGUAGAGGAUAGUGGAAUUUCCGGUGUAGCAGUGAAAUGCGUAGAGAUCGGAAGGAACAUCUGUGGCGAAGGCGACUAUCUGGGCCAACAUUGACACUGAGGCACGAAAGCGUGGGGAGCAAACAGGAUUAGAUACCCGGGUAGUCCCUGUCUCUUAUAC